This 235-nucleotide unclassified non-coding RNA is filed under the name Paraglomerales sp. Its description in RNAcentral is "partial contains 5.8S ribosomal RNA and internal transcribed spacer 2". The stretch from base 1 to 65 matches the Rfam family "5.8S ribosomal RNA", at positions 84 to 154 of the family's 154-position model. Lineage: Eukaryota; Fungi; Glomeromycota; Glomeromycetes; Paraglomerales. The record is from RNAcentral.
GUGAAUCAUCGAAUUUUUGAACGCAAAUUGCGCCUUUUUCGGAAGGCAUGUCUGUUUGAGUGCACCAUUCAACAAAUAAUGUGCAGCGUUUGGUGCUGCCCACGCUUAUGGGCUUUCCAGGAAUUGUAAAUCUUUGGUUGCGCAUAGUGAACAGCGUGAAAGCUUUUUUCAUUUCGAGUGUAGUAAAAUCUUUGAUUGAGUUGUGCAAAAACAUAAUCGCGCAAUGGGCGUGGCA